Molecule: ribosomal RNA, 377 nt
Filed under: Strombidiidae sp.
Lineage: Eukaryota; Ciliophora; Spirotrichea; Strombidiidae
Description: partial small subunit ribosomal RNA
Rfam family: Eukaryotic small subunit ribosomal RNA
Source: RNAcentral
AUUCCAGCUCCAAUAGCGUAUAUUAAAGUUGUUGCAGUUAAAAAGCUCGUAGUUGGAUUUCUGAUAGGGAGCCGAUCACCACUGUUGUGAGUGUUAGGUACCUGUCAUCCUUCUGUUAACCCCUGCGGCAUUCAUUUGUCGUUGGGCGGACCAGAUACUUUACCUUGAGAAAAUUAGAGUGUUUCAGGCAGGCCUAGCCGGAAUACAUUAGCAUGGAAUAAUGGAAUAGGACUAUAGUCUCGUCGUUGGUUACGUGGACUGCAGUAAUGAUUAAUAGGGAUAGUUGGGGGCAUUAGUAUUUAUUAGCUAGAGGUGGAAUUCUCUAAUUUGAUAAAGACUAACUUAUGCGAAAGCAUUUGCCAAGGAUGUUUUCAUCA